This 77-nucleotide ribosomal RNA is filed under the name Parahaemophilus parainfluenzae. RNAcentral's name for it is "Haemophilus parainfluenzae partial 16S ribosomal RNA". It matches the Rfam family "Bacterial small subunit ribosomal RNA", at positions 1 to 75 of the family's 1533-position model. Lineage: Bacteria; Pseudomonadati; Pseudomonadota; Gammaproteobacteria; Pasteurellales; Pasteurellaceae. The record is from RNAcentral.
UUGAAUUGAAGAGUUUGAUCAUGGCUCAGAUUGAACGCUGGCGGCAGGCUUAACACAUGCAAGUCGAACGGUAACAU